CCCUUAGAUGUUCUGGGCCGCACGCGCGCUACACUGAUGCAUUCAACGAGUCUAAAACCUGCUCUGAUAGGGGUGGGUAAUCUUUUGAAUGUGCAUCGUGAUUGGGAUAGAUGAUUGCAAUUUUUCAUCUUCAACGAGGAAUGCCUAGUAAACGCAAGUCAUCAGCUUGCAUUGAUUACGUCCCUGCCCUUUGUACACACCGCCCGUCGCUCCUAUCGAUUGAAUGAUCCGAUGAAUAUCAUGGAUUGAGGAUGCAAGCAGGUUCGCCUGUCUUCAUCUUCGAGAAGUGAAGUAAAUCUUAUCAUUUAGAGGAAGGAGAAGUCGUAACA
This 329-nucleotide ribosomal RNA is filed under the name uncultured eukaryote. RNAcentral describes it as "partial 18S ribosomal RNA". It matches the Rfam family "Eukaryotic small subunit ribosomal RNA", at positions 1470 to 1796 of the family's 1831-position model. The record is from RNAcentral.